GAGACUCUGUGCGCGUGCAUAUCAAUAAGCGGAGGAAAAGAAACUAACAAGGAUUCCCCUAGUAACGGCGAGUGAAGCGGGAAGAGCUCAAACUUUGAAAUCUUCAAGGUUCUACCUUUACGAAUUGUAGUUUAAAGAAGUGUUUUCUGUUGGAGUUUCGGUAAAAGUUCUUUGGAAUAGGACAUCAUAGAGGGUGAGAAUCCCGUAUUUGAUCCAGUUACUUUCCAGCUGCGUGAUACACUUUCAAAGAGUCGGAUUGUUUGGGAAUGCAGUCCAAAAUGGGUGGUAAAUUUCAUCUAAAGCUAAAUAUUGGCGAGAGACCGAUAGCGAACAAGUACCGUGAGGGAAAGAUGAAAAGAACUUUGAAAAGAGAGUUAAACAGUACGUGAAAUUGUCAAAAGGGAAGCGUUUGACACCAGUGUUGUUUAGUUGAAAAUCAAUUCAAUAAUUUUUGAUUUUGAGUAGUAUUGACUUCAUCAGCUUGCUGCUUUCUUUUCAGAAAUUAUUGAAUGCACUUUUCAGUUAACAAGUCAACAUCAAUUUCUUUUGUUGUAAAAGGGUAAGAGGAAGGUGGCUUACGCUUCGGCGUAAGUGUUUAUAGCCUUUUACCUCUGCAAUCGGAGAGAUUGAGGACAGCAGCGUAGACUCCUUCGGGGGUUAGAUACACUUGUGCUAAGCUAUAGCCUUGUAUAGACAACUUGUUGACUAUGCUCAGUCAUGUAGCUUACUCGCUUGAUGCUAUUUUACCUACGCUUAGGAUGUUGACAGCAGUAUAGACUGU
This 781-nucleotide ribosomal RNA is filed under the name uncultured Neocallimastigales. RNAcentral describes it as "partial large subunit ribosomal RNA". It matches the Rfam family "Eukaryotic large subunit ribosomal RNA", at positions 23 to 638 of the family's 3401-position model. Lineage: Eukaryota; Fungi; Neocallimastigomycota; Neocallimastigomycetes; Neocallimastigales. The record is from RNAcentral.